UUUCAACUGGUUUUUACAGAUGUUUUUAAACAGAUGGAACCUGUAGCAGAACCAUUGGUUUGUUCAGCAGAGUUCUUCUGCAGAUCGCGUUAAAGAAAGUUGAGUUUAGAAAAUAUUCUAACAUUCUCCGUCUUGUUGACCAACCAUGCUGAUCAACAACCUGAAGAUGAACUUUGCAGACGUUCAAAGGGUGUAAAUACUUUUGUGGGAGGCUCUAGCUCUUUUGCUAGCAGCACUUAAAUGCUAAUUAUAUAGCUACUAACUAUUAGCGUUGUUAGAGAUGGUCGCCUCCCGUCACUCACCGAAUGUCGAGCCUCUCAUUCAGUGGAGUGAAGCGGACGUGUCCGGGAUUAUCCGUCCAUCAAGCUUCUCAAUGGAUUUUGGAAACUGAUAGUACCCCCCCUCACCCCCCACCCAGACAGACAAAGCUCAGUUUGGCCCGUCAACUCCUGGACAUCUCCAAUCAGUCUUCCUCUGCAGCCUUGUGAAAGGGAUCCUUUUUGGCAGAGAGGCGGGAAUUAAGUGGGGGUCAGAGAGCACAGUGGGUCAGACAGCCAGCGUAUUAUCAGGCCUGUCAGUCUUACAAACUAUCUGCUUCGACUCACUUUGGCGUGUCAUGGCUGCAGUUUGUUUUGGUUUUUUUCACAAUCCAAAGCCCAACAAUAGGAGAAAAAAGUCUCAGUUUUGUAUCAUUCUCUUAAAUGAAAGUUGGUAACCAUGUUGAAUUUGUUUUCUUAUGGGGUAUUUUGUGAUGGAUUAAAUGUUUCUCUGUGCUCUGCUGCCCC
Long non-coding RNA from Poecilia latipinna (sailfin molly), 785 nucleotides. RefSeq lists it as uncharacterized. NCBI's taxonomy places the organism in Eukaryota, Metazoa, Chordata, Actinopteri, Cyprinodontiformes, Poeciliidae. The transcript has 3 exons. The record is from RefSeq and is a predicted model, not a curated record.